Molecule: ribosomal RNA, 433 nt
Filed under: uncultured bacterium
Lineage: Bacteria
Description: partial 16S ribosomal RNA
Rfam family: Bacterial small subunit ribosomal RNA
Source: RNAcentral
AACGAACGCUGGCGGCAUGCCUAACACAUGCAAGUCGAACGAGACCUUCGGGCUUAGUGGCGCACGGGUGCGUAACGCGUGGGAACCUGCCCUUAGGUUCGGAAUAACUCCCCGAAUGGGGUGCUAAUACCGGCUAAUGUCUUCGGACCAAAGAUUUAUCGCCUUUGGAUGGGCUUGCGUUGGAUUAGCUAGUUGGUAGGGUAAAAGCCUACCAAAGCGACGUUCCAUAGCUGGUUUGAGAGGAUGAGCCGCCACACUGGUACUGAGACACGGUCCAGACUCCUACGGGAGGCAGCAGUGGGGAAUAUAGGACAAUGGGCGAAAGCCUGAUCCAGCAAUGCCGCGUGAGUGAUGAAGGUCUUAGGGUUGUAAAGCUCUUUUACCCGGGAUGAUAAUGACAGUACCGGGAGAAUAAGCACCGGCUAACUCCGUG